RNAcentral lists this ribosomal RNA (416 nucleotides) under Exiguobacterium sp. '4.3 MW-12'. Its description in RNAcentral is "bacterial SSU rRNA". It matches the Rfam family "Bacterial small subunit ribosomal RNA", at positions 1 to 398 of the family's 1533-position model. Lineage: Bacteria; Bacillati; Bacillota; Bacilli; Caryophanales. The record is from RNAcentral.
UGGAGAGUUUGAUCCUGGCUCAGGACGAACGCUGGCGGCGUGCCUAAUACAUGCAAGUCGAGCGCAGGAAGCCGUCUGAACCCUUCGGGGGGACGACGGUGGAAUGAGCGGCGGACGGGUGAGUAACACGUAAAGAACCUGCCCAUAGGUCUGGGAUAACCACGAGAAAUCGGGGCUAAUACCGGAUGUGUCAUCGGACCGCAUGGUCCGCUGAUGAAAGGCGCUCCGGCGUCGCCCAUGGAUGGCUUUGCGGUGCAUUAGCUAGUUGGUGGGGUAACGGCCCACCAAGGCGACGAUGCAUAGCCGACCUGAGAGGGUGAUCGGCCACACUGGGACUGAGACACGGCCCAGACUCCUACGGGAGGCAGCAGUAGGGAAUCUUCCACAAUGGACGAAAGUUCUGAUGGAGCAACGCC